Molecule: long non-coding RNA, 1128 nt
Filed under: Junco hyemalis (dark-eyed junco)
Lineage: Eukaryota; Metazoa; Chordata; Aves; Passeriformes; Passerellidae
Description: lncRNA (ENSJHYG00000013124.1)
Source: RNAcentral
AUGGAAGUGCCGGACCGCGGUCGCUGCCUCCAUCCGUGCUGGCCUCGCUUGGUGUUGGCGGGAUCUCCUGCUCCUCCUCGCUCCCGGACCGGGCCUUCUCCUCACCUUCCUCGCUCUGUAGAUUCUGACCAGAGGGAAAACAACAAGGGCCGGCCGUGCAUGACUUCACGCCGGGAGCACCCAAGGAGCAGGAGGGCAGCCCACCAUGCCCGUGAGCCGCGCCUCGCCAGGCCCCAGGCCCGCGGUUGUGCUUUGCAAAGGCAGCAGCGCCGCUGGGACAGAGAGGAGAGGCCGGGAAAGCCAUGCGGCACCGGCAGCGCCCUCCGGCCCGCCCGGAGAGGGCCGCCAGGGAGCCGCGGGCAGCAGCGCUCCCUGCCCGGCCUCCGGAGCCCUGCCGCCCCCAUCCCCGGAGGUCCCGGCUCACCUCGGCCAGGACCGCCAGGGCCACCUCCAGCAGCUCCGCCUCGUUCAUGCAGUACAGCGCCGCCGGCCUGGGCAAUGCACAGAGGACGCUCAGCGCGGGCAGCGCUGGGCUCGCCCUCCCGCUGGCCUCUCCCCCGCCCCAGCGGCGCUACCUGCGCCCCGCCGCCGCCCGCCGCCGCCCGGCGCUGGGGGCCGGGGCCGCCGCCGCCCGCCCGUCCCCCGCCGCCCCCAUCCAGGCCGGGAGCUGCCGCCGCCGAGCCCCAGCCGCCAUGCCCACGCGGGGCGGUGCCGCCGGGGCGCCUUCCGCCGUCAUACCGGGGCUGCUUCCCGCCCGACCGGGACACAGGGGAGCUGGAAAAGCAGCCCCAGGCCGCCCUAAAACCCAAGUCACGACUAAGCCCCGUGUUUGAUCAGACAGGCAGGCAAUAUCGCGUUCCUCCAUACUCCGUCAAGGAGCAAACACGGCUCUGGGCCAGCUGCGGAGCAGACGGGGCGUUGGGAACGAGGCGUGCAGCCUCCGAGCCCCGGGGCAGCCUGGCGGCCCGGGCCCGGCGCCGCCCCGAGCUCUCGGUCGCGGAGCCGCCGUGCUGCCCCGGAACGCUCGGUUAUGGUACCGCCGUGCCGCCCCCGAGCGCUCCGUUACGGUGCCGCCGUGCCGCCCCCGAGCGCUCCGUUACGGUGCUGCCCCGGAACGCUCGGUUAUAG